GGGCUGCUCUGGUCGGAGCAGCGGGUGACAGGCAGGUGUGGGGGGACCAGGAGGGAGGCCGUCUGGUGCAGAACUGGACACGGUGCUGCAUUUAUGAUUUUGUUUCUCCUAAGUAGACACCAUAUCUCUGGAAAGUCUGCAGACCCAAGGAAACGUUAACUCCCCACUGGGAAGGGCGAGGGUCCUGGCCGCCAGGAAGGUCGGCCUGAGUGGGCGCUGUGGUGGGGGCAGUGCGCCGUGGUCACAGCCCUGACUCGCCCGGCUUGCAGCUCCUCGGGCCCUCCCCACCCCCACGUUCACAAACACACACAUGCCUAUACUCACACGGGGGUAGAUGUGUGUGUGCUUUCAGCGGUUUUAAUCACUGUGUGAAAUCAGUGACGUGGUGGCUUUGUCCAGCUGUAUAUAGUGAUUAUUUAAAUGUCUAUUUAUUAUUUGAAUAAAGGGUAAACUCCUCUGCCUUUUAGGGGUCACGCUCUUCCCCACUAACUCCAGGCUGACUUCUAGAUAUUUCCUCCGCUCCUGAGUAUAUGUGACUCUAAGGGCGAGAAGGGGAAAAUGUUAGAAUCAGACACAGCUGGUUCUAGACGAGUGUAAUGUAUUACCUCAAUUUUUCACUUAUUUUGUAAAAGUAACUAAGGUUUAUCUCGUUUGACUUUAAUGUGUCGUCUUAAUCGUAUUUUACAUUGAAGCCUUACAUUUUUAAAAAACCAAUUUUGUAUUUUUCUUGUGGCGAUCCUUGCUCCAAUCUCCGUCUCGGGUGCUAGGCACAAAUUUAGUUAAGACCUGAAGUUUCUCCUUUGGCGGGAGCUGCAUCAAUCACCAGACGGGAUGCAAAAGCAACCCCCAGCCACUGAAUAGCUUGUCUUUCCUGCCACCUGUUUCAGUGCAGAGAGCUGGGUUGUCUUUCACUUUACAUGAGUAUGUUAAUACCAGAGAGGCAAAGUCAGCAACGGAGCAGAGGUGAAAUUAAGACACGUGCUUGUCGGAGUUCCCUUCGUGGCUCAGCAGUUAACAAAUCCAACUAGAAUCCACGAGGAUGCGGGUUCGAUCCCUGGCCUCAUUCAGUGGGUUAAGGAUCCAGCGUUGCCGUGAGCUGGGGUGUAGGUUGCAGAUGCAGCUUGGAUUCUGCGUUGCUGUGGCUGUGGUGUAGGCUGGUGGCUGCAGCUCCGAUUUGACCCCCUAGCCUGGGAACCUCCAUAUGCCACAUGUGCAGCCCUAAAAAGACAAAAAAAAAAAAAAAAAAAAAAAAAAAA
RNAcentral lists this long non-coding RNA (1256 nucleotides) under Sus scrofa (pig). RNAcentral's name for it is "lncRNA (ENSSSCG00015032247.1)". The record is from RNAcentral. Lineage: Eukaryota; Metazoa; Chordata; Mammalia; Artiodactyla; Suidae.